RNAcentral lists this ribosomal RNA (400 nucleotides) under uncultured bacterium. RNAcentral describes it as "bacterial SSU rRNA". It matches the Rfam family "Bacterial small subunit ribosomal RNA", at positions 356 to 773 of the family's 1533-position model. The record is from RNAcentral.
GGGGAAUAUUGGACAAUGGGCGAAAGCCCGAUCCAGCCAUGCCGCGUGAGUGAUGAAGGCCCUAGGGUUGUAAAGCUCUUUUGUGCGGGAAGAUAAUGACGGUACCGCAAGAAUAAGCCCCGGCUAACUUCGUGCCAGCAGCCGCGGUAAUACGAAGGGGGCUAGCGUUGCUCGGAAUCACUGGGCGUAAAGGGUGCGUAGGCGGGUUUCUAAGUCGGAGGUGAAAGCCUGGAGCUCAACUCCAGAACUGCCUUUGAUACUGGAAGUCUUGAGUUCGGGAGAGGUGAGUGGAUCUGCGAGUGUAGAGGUGAAAUUCGUAGAUAUUCGCAAGAACACCAGUGGCGAAGGCGGCUCACUGGCCCGAUACUGACGCUGAGGCACGAAAGCGUGGGGAGCAAAC